This 236-nucleotide long non-coding RNA is filed under the name Homo sapiens (human). RNAcentral's name for it is "HSALNT0255243". Lineage: Eukaryota; Metazoa; Chordata; Mammalia; Primates; Hominidae. The record is from RNAcentral.
UCCGCCCCUCACCCAGGUCCCACCUCUCCAAGGCUCCAUUCCUCUCCCAGGUCGCACCUCUCCAAGGCCCUGCCUACCUCUCCAAGGUCCCACCCACCUAUGAAUAGGCCACAUUCCUGUCCUGGGACCACCUGUCCAAGGCUCUGCCCCUCACCCAAGUCUGACCUCUCCAAGCCCCAUCCACCUAUGCACAGGCCACACCCUCAUCCUAGGACCGUUUCUCCACAAGACCCACU